Molecule: long non-coding RNA, 851 nt
Organism: Anguilla rostrata (American eel)
Lineage: Eukaryota; Metazoa; Chordata; Actinopteri; Anguilliformes; Anguillidae
Exons: 2
Source: RefSeq, a predicted model, not a curated record
CAGACGCACAGACGUAUAGACAUACAGACGCACAGACGUACAGACACACAGACGUACAGACGCACAGACGUACGCACCGCCUGCAGGACAACGCAGCGCCUCGAGCGCAAACAGGGUCGGCGCGUUUACUGUAAACACGCGCUGCUCUCAAACCGUGCCCAGACCCGGCUGCGUGCGGCGCUUGGACACCAGGACCCAGCCCUGGCGCAGAACGCCAGCCGAGAGAGAGACAGAGGGAGCUGGAGGUGUGGUCUAUUGUUUUUUGCGGAAGAGGUGUAGGGUUACACUGCCGCCAAACCUCCAAAGAGCUCCGUCACCCCCCCCCCCCUUUUUUCUUUUUUUGCUCCCUGGCGGGGAGAAGGUGAGUAGAUGAAGUAGUGAACCAGAAAGGGAGUCACAGGGAAUUUCACAGAUUUUAUCUGUCACUAUUAUAAUGGUCUCUGGACGGCAGGCAGACCCUGAGGUGUGACUGCAUGUGAGAGAGAGAGAGGAAGUGAGAGAGAGAGACAGAGAGAGGAGUGGAGAGAGAGGGAGUGAGAGGGAGAGAGGGAGAGGGAUUGAGAGAGAGAGAGAGAGAGAGAGAGAGGGAGAGGGAAUGAGAGAGAGAGACAAACUGAGGGACAGGGAGUAACAUUGACACCAGAAAAGUAAAAUUAUUAUAGUUCAUUGACAUUUUGUAUGCGUUAUGUUCUAGUUGUAGAAUUUUAUUUCUGUGGAUUGUCUGGAUUUUAUAUUUUUUCUGUUUAUUGUAGUUAAAUUGUUAUUGCCUGUCUGUUAUAUUUGUCAUGUGAGUGAAUGCUUUGGCAAUGUAAGUGUACCCUUACCAUGCCAAUAAAGCUUACUGAAUUGAA